CCUACGGGUGGCAGCAGUGAGGAAUAUUGGUCAAUGGCCGGAAGGCUGAACCAGCCAUGCCGCGUGAAGGUCAGUGCCCUAUGGGCGUUAAACUUCUUUUGUGCGGGAGCAAUAAUGGUCACGUGUGGCCAGACGAGAGUACCGUACGAAUAAGCAUCGGCUAACUCCGUGCCAGCAGCCGCGGUAAUACGGGGGAUGCAAGCGUUAUCCGGAUUUAUUGGGUUUAAAGGGUGCGUAGGCUGUGAGGUAAGUCAGCGGUGAAAUGCCCCCGCUCAACGGGGUGAAGUGCCAUUGAUACUGCCUUGCUGGAAUGCGGAUGCCGUGGGAGGAAUGUGUGGUGUAGCGGUGGAAUGCAUAGAUAUCACACAGAACACCGAUUGCGAAGGCAUCUCACGAAUCCGCGAUUGACGCUGAUGCACGAAAGCGUGGGUAUCAAACAGGAUUAGAUACCCCUGUAGUC
Molecule: ribosomal RNA, 460 nt
Filed under: uncultured bacterium
Lineage: Bacteria
Description: partial 16S ribosomal RNA
Rfam family: Bacterial small subunit ribosomal RNA
Source: RNAcentral